Molecule: ribosomal RNA, 433 nt
Filed under: uncultured bacterium
Lineage: Bacteria
Description: partial 16S ribosomal RNA
Rfam family: Bacterial small subunit ribosomal RNA
Source: RNAcentral
AACGAACGCUGGCGGCAUGCCUAACACAUGCAAGUCGAACGAGACCUUCGGGUCUAGCGGCGCACGGGUGCGUAACGCGUGGGAACCUGCCCUUAGGUUCGGAAUAACUCCCCGAAAGGGGUGCUAAUACCGGAUAAUGUCUUCGGACCAAAGAUUUAUCGCCUUUGGAUGGGCCCGCGUUGGAUUAGCUAGUUGGUAGGGUAAAAGUCUACCAAGGCGACGAUCCAUAGCUGGUCUGAGAGGAUGAUCAGCCACACUGGGACUGAGACACGGCCCAGACUCCUACGGGAGGCAGCAGUGGGGAAUAUUGGACAAUGGGCGAAAGCCUGAUCCAGCAAUGCCGCGUGAGUGAUGAAGGCCCUAGGGUUGUAAAGCUCUUUUACCCGGGAUGAUAAUGACAGUACCGGGAGAAUAAGCGCCGGCUAACUCCGUG